Molecule: long non-coding RNA, 6931 nt
Filed under: Gossypium barbadense (sea-island cotton)
Lineage: Eukaryota; Viridiplantae; Streptophyta; Magnoliopsida; Malvales; Malvaceae
Description: long non-coding RNA (GBAR_LNC003835)
Source: RNAcentral
AGUGCAGGUAAGGAAUCCUAAACUUUUUGUUUAUUAAUAAACUGCAUACAAAGUUGUGGUGCAGGAAGGUUUGCACUGGUAGUUUGAUAUGUUUAUAUAUCUAGCCAAAAGGAUGUUCGAAUAUUCUGACAACUAGUGUUUAUGAGGGAACAAUACAAAACUAUCCAGAUCAGUGGCAGAAUAGAAUGCUCAAUCCCUUAUAUUGACUAAUUCUUUUUAUCUCCCUCUAUAUUAUUUUGGUCAAUUGUAUUGUUUAUCAGUUGGUUUGACUGCAGAAAAUGGUAAGCCUUUUUUCCCCUUUCAUUGUCUAUCAGGUUGGUUUGAGUGCGGAAAAUGGUUAUGCUACAAGCUUGGCACGUUUUGCUGCAAAUCUUGGACCUGUUGUGUGGAAAAUUGCUUCAAGGAAAAUUGGAAGUGUUUUGCCUAGUGGACUCAAGUUUGGUCCUGGAUGGGUUGGAGAAAACAGGACAGUUGAGCAGCAACAAUUUUCCUUAUCUGAUAAGCAGAGAACUCUGAAUUCUCUAUCUGAUAACCCUCCUGGCAGAUUUUUAUCUACAGCCACUUCUGGUUCAAACUCCAUUGCUGCAAGUAGAUUUCCUUUGCAAGGUAGAGAAGACAUGGAAGCUGUCGUAGGCCUAACUUCUCAAAAUGACUCGACUUCUGCACCUUCUCAUCAGUUUCAGCAAAGUCUUGUCCCACACUCGGGUAUUAAUGGUUCUAUUGGUGGGUUUGGGUUUGGUUAUUACUCUCAAAUGGGGUUGGUAACACACUGUGUAAAUUCCUUGUCUGAAAAGACUUCAGUGCCGACUCAAACACUUGUCAUGGUUUCAGGUGCUAGUAAUUUUCUUCCAAAAGAGGCCAAGUUGGCAGAUAGCUCAAUCACUUUACAUUCUGGAAAUGCAAUGGCUGUGGAGCCUGAAAUGGUGUCACAUGCGGCGGCAACUAAUGUCGGGCUUCAGCGGAGUUCCUAUAAUGAACUGAAUUUCCUUCCAUUUGCUUCUGAUCUUAAUGUGAGAUUUCUGGCACGGGGUCCACCUAGUUCUAGUGUGCCAAUUGGUUCACCCCAGCGCCCUGAUUUAGCAUUGCAGCUCUAAUAAUCAGCUAACACGAUUUCCGUAUGAUGUGGCUUGUAUGUGCUAAUUGUAGUAUAGGUCAAGUACGCCUGUAUAUGAUGAUAAGAUUUGGUCGAAUUUACUGACUACAUUUCUUCAUUGGAAGGUCCGUUGAGUAGUGGUUCCUCAAGAAGUCUUUAGGAUCAGAUUGUAGGGGAGAUUUUGUACAGAUUGGUAUAUCUAAUUCUUUCACAGGGUUAAAAAAUUACAGAUUUGUAUGCAACAUACGGUAUCUAACAUGUUAUAUUUUGAGUUGUUAAUGAAUAUUGUUACCAAUACUACUACUGGUAUUACGUACGAGAUAUCAUUCAUGUCAUGAAUUAUGAAAUGUUCAUGUUUGGAGCAAUGAAGUAAUGCUUAAACUAAUUGAUGCAAAAUUGAGAGCAACUGGUUGCUAAGGGGGGUUGAGUGAUGUUAUAUAAAUGGCAAUUAUAUAUACGUGUGCAUAUAUAAUUAUCUCCAUGUGCAUAUAAAGUUGUCUUUAAAAUUUCUUUAAAAUUGUGGCCCGUUAUCUAGUAUUAACCAUUGGGAAAACUAUAUCAACAAAUGAUGGUUUUCCAUACAAAAAUCUCCAUGUGUCUUUGAUGGCUAUGGAAAUUAGAUCCGAAUAGGAUUACCUGUGUUGGUUGUGAUAGGACAUGAUAGAGUCCAUUUGUCUUAUGAUUAGCGAAGUAUUCUAGCAAAUUAUAGUCCUUUGACGAGAUACAGAAAGUAUGACUUGGUAUCUUGAUGGACAAGAUGUGAGCCAUUGCGAGGUAUACUUAUGUCGAGGUCUAACCAACUCCACCAUUACAUAUAACAUAUAAUUUAUGUUAAUGGUAAAUAUUUUAUGUAAUUCGUAUAACACAAAAUAUUAAAUAUUUGUAACAAUUUGUCUGCUUACAAAAAUAUUAUUAAUGUUCUAAUAAUUUGUGUAAUUAAAUAAUAUUUUAUAAGAUUACACUAAAUACUAUAAAAUUAUAAUAUUUUAAUUAAAAAAUAUUUUGGAAAGCUCGUCCUCUUAUUUUGUGGUAAAGGUAAAAUUAAAAUAAUAGUUUGACCAUAUAAUAAUUUAUUUGGUCCUCUAAUUUUAUAAAAAAUUAUUUUAGUUAUUUAUUUAAUUUUUUGUCUUUUGUACUUAUUGAACUUCUUUUUUUUAAAUUAUUCGAAAAUAAAUAAAAAAUUAAUGUUAUUUAAUAUUAUUGAUGUGGUAUAUACAUAAAUUGUCAUGGAUGAUAUGUUAGCAUUUAAUUAAUUUUUUAAAAAUUUUAAAAUAUUUACAGAGUACUUUUUAAAUAAUUUUAAUGAUUUUUAAUUUUUUUAAAAAAAUUAUAACUUUUUAAUAAGAAUUAAUUGAAUGUUGACAUGUCAUCUUUGUGAUGAUCUACAUGUAUGUCAUGUUAACAAAAUUAAAAAAUAUUAAUCUUUUAUUUAUUUUAAAGUGAUUUACAGAAAAAUAUAAAUUUAAAAACUAAAAAAAUAUCAAAAAUUAAAAUAAUUUUUAUAAAAUUAGAGCGUAAAUAAAUAUUAUACCUAAAUUGAUUUACCAGAAAAGAGGUGCAACGCUGCAAAUCAAUGCAACUUUCACGUGAGUGCUGGGCACGCGGACAUCCUUCUAUUUCACGUGACUUUCCCUCCACGCUGGCAUCUGUUCCCCCUCUCUUCUCCCAAUGUUCCUUCAUAUUACAAACAUAAUAAAAAAGUAAAUAAUAUAAAAUAAAUAAACCAAACAGAAAUCGAAAGCUUGUUUAGAUAGCAAAAAAAAAAAAAAAAAAGGAAAAGGAAAAAGCAAUGGGAGGUGGAGGUGGUGGUGGUGGUGAGAUAGCAGCGGAGACAAGGAAGAAGAGGAAGAAGGGAAGGCCCUCUCUCUUAGAACUUCAAAAACGCUCUCUCAAACAACAACAACUGCAGGAGCCGCAGCAACCGCAAUUGCUUCCUCAGAAAACCCCUAAUUCUUCUAUCUUUUCGAACCGCCGAUCCACUCGCCGCCACCCAAAUCUCAACGGUGGGUCCCCAGUUUCCGGAUCGAUUUCCGGAGGAGAAGACGACGACGACGACGACCGCCUACAGAAGAAGCAUAAACCAUUGCUUGGCUUCAAUUCUUCUCGUACUGAUCAGCAUUAUCCGAUUCCUUCGGCGCUCAAUUCGGCCUCCUAUGGGUCCGAUUCGAAUGCGGAUGGUGACAAUCCCGACGCGUCACUCAAGCGUCGCAAGUUUACCGCCGCCAAGCCUGGAUCUGAUCAAAUGGUGAUAAAUCAUACAUUAAUAUAUAGAUUUCGCGGGUUUUUUAAAGUCCUGGUUUUGAAACAGAAUCAAAAAAUUGAUUUUCCUACUUUAUUUGGAUAUUUUAUUUUAGGGUUUAUAUUUUGGGAAUCGAAAAUAGCUUCUCGUGCGCCGAAAUUUUAUGAUUGCAACAGAGAUGAACGAAUGAGUUUGACUAAGUCGUUUUAUUGGAUAUUGUUUAAACUUUUUGAUUUUCGGCAAAACUUCAAGUUGUUUUGAACAUAGUUUGUCUUCCUUUUCUUUCCCGAUUUACGAAUUUUCCAUUAUUAUUUUAUUAUUUCUUGUCUUGGAUUUAAUCCUUCCUUUAUUUUUGUGCAAAAUAAUAGAUGCACAGACCAUCAUGCCUGUAAAGCUUCAGUUUGUCUUUUCUUUUCUUUAAUAAUAAUACUUCAAAGUUGUUGUUUUUUUUUUGUACUUGCUUUGCAUUGUUGUAGCUUUUUACUGUAACUUUCCUCAGUGAUUCUUCAAUAAUCAACGCAAGUAUCUCUUUUAAUAGUUUUUUUUUUCAUUUAAUUUGGGAGUUAAAUAAAUAUAUGUAUUGACACGAGAGUUUAUCUUAUUUACAGGGAGAAAAGUUAUCGAAAGUGACGGACACACUUCAUGGUAUAAAUCUAUCUCGGUUUUCAUGAAAAAAAGGCAUUUCUGGGAAUUCUUAGAAAAAAGAAGUGUUGGGUUUUGUUAACUAUAUUAAUUUUAUUUCAUUCAUAUGUGGACAGGGUCACCGGUGGAGUCUGGCCCCACUCCCACGACGCCUUUGCCAGACAAAAAGUUGUUGGUGUUCAUUCUUGACAGGCUUCAAAAGUAUUUGUUAUUUUUGGCUCAUUUGAUUUUUUUUCUUAGUUUAUCUUCCGUUUGACGGGUUUUUAUCUUUUUUACUUAAUCUACUUCCAGGAAAGACACUUAUGGGGUAUUCUCUGAGCCAGUAGAUCCUGAAGAGGUGCAUUUUGUUUUUCAUUCUUGCAUAAAUCUAGAUUAUUGAAAAGUGAAAUCACGGUUCCUGAUAUAAUGUUGGAUUGGUCUUGAUACAGCUUCCAGAUUACCAUGAUAUUAUUGCACACCCAAUGGACUUUUCGACAGUCAGGAAAAAACUUGAUGAGGGAGCUUAUAUUACCUUAGAACAAUUUGAGGUUUGUUUUGCAAGCAUUCUCUUUGGUAAUGUGGAUACAAUGUUCAUCUAUCUGUCUUCCCCCUGACAUAGUGGAGAGGGAAAGCCAACUAAGUUGUUUGACUGCAUUACUGUCAAUGAUUAAGUUUCUGAUGUUAUUUUCUGGAUUUCUCUGGUUGAUUUGUGUGUUUUUGUAGAAAUUGUGUAUGGCGAGUCAAGUGUAUGUUGUCAAUCAAGCAAGUCCUUGAAGAAUACCAGAGGCAUGCUAUGCCUUUUGAGAUUACUGUAGUAACGAUGUUGACUAUGAUGUUUAAGUUCUUCAUUAAGUCCACUUGUUUGGGAUAGCAUUUUGGCCUCUUAUGCCUAGAAGAUUCUUUAAUUUGGUUUGAGAAGAUAAUUACUUGCCUUUGUUCUUUACCGUUCAUAUUAUAUAUAAUUUAUUUGGUACAGCCAAUGGUUUGCCUAUGGUUUAUGGAAUUUGAUUGCAAAACUUGUUUUGUUUAGCAUGGGAUCUUACAGUGUUACUCUUUCCUAGCAGAUAACUAUAUUUGCUUUGAGUUGCUUUUUGUGGUUAAUUGAGAAGAUGAAAAUCCUAAUGAAAUGAUUUUCAUGUCAGUAUAAAUGCUCUGGACCAGUGGAGAUAGUCUUUAGAUUCUACAAACAUGUAGUAAUCAGAACUUAGAUUUAGGGGAUAUAGUUUUUCUGGAAUGAUACUUGAUGUAUAACUGAAAAUUUGUGAGUUUGAUUCAUGCAGAUUGAUGUUUUCCUAAUAUGCUCGAAUGCAAUGCAGUAUAAUGCACCAGAUACAAUUUACUUUCGACAGGUUUGUCUAGGUCUCAACUGUAUUAACUCCUUUGUAAUGAUUCUGUGGUCUCUGUUAUUUUAAACGUCUGGAUUGGAUGGUUAGGCACGAUCAAUGCAAGAGCUGGCUAAAAAGGACUUUGAGAAUUUGAGGCAAGAUGGUGAUGAAGGUGAACCACAAGUGAAAGUUGUGAGGAGAGGAAGGCCACCUGGAAAGAGCCUCAAAAAGUCAUUGGUUUCAUCGUCAUCUAUUGACCAUGUUGGUUCUGAGUACUCCUCAGAUGCAACACUAGCUGCUGGACGAGAUGCUUCUAGCCUUUCAAACACUUACAAUUUGAGGAAAGCACCUAAUUCCCUCAAACUACGGCCUGCAGAUACAUUUAUCAGGCCCUCCUGGGGUUCUCCUAGCAAAGAAAAUCAUGCCAUUUGUUCAUCUGAAUGGGAGAAUGAAUUUCCAGGUUUGGUAUUUAUCUGACUUUAUAUACAUAUCCUUAAGUCUUUAGCUUUUUUAAUGUAAAAUGUUAUAAACUACAUAUUUUCUAUAUUUCAUAUUGAGCUAUUUUUCUCUCAUUUUGUAGCUUCUGUUGUGAGGGCUGUGAUGAAGUAUGGGAUGAAACAUUUUGCAGUAGAUGAGAACAGGCGUGACACCUACUGCCACUCAUCGACUUCUGGACAUGAGCAACAUACCUUUUCCACCUUGGAUGGAGAAUUGAAGCAACUAAUUCCGGUGCGUUUUAUGUUUGUAUAAUGGCAAUAACUGUUAUUAGUGCAUUAGUUAGAAGAUUAUUGUAUGAGCUGUAUAGCUGGAAUGUGUGAUUGACCUUAGACUCAUUGAGCGCAGGUAAGGAAUCCUAAACUUUUUGUUUGUUAAUAAAUUGUAUACAAAAGUUGAGGUGCAGGUAGGUUUGCCCUGGUAAUUUGAUAUGUUUAUAUAUCUAGCCAAAAGGGUGUUCGAAUAUUCUGACAACUAGUGUUUAUGAGGGAACAAUACAAAACUAUCCAGAUCAGCGGCAGAAUAGAAUGCUCAAUCCCUUAUAUUGACUAAUUCUUUUUAUCUCCCUUGAUUUUAUUUUGGUCAAUUUUAUUGUUUAUCAGGUUAGCUUGACCACGGAAAAUGGUAACCCUUUUUUCCCCUUUCAUUGUCUAUCAGGUUGGUUUGAGUGCAGAAAAUGGCUAUGCUACAAGCUUGGCACGUUUUGCUGCAAAUCUUGGACCAGUUGUUUGGAAAAUUGCUUCAAGGAAAAUUGAAAGUGUUUUGCCUAGUGGACUCAAGUUUGGUCCUGGAUGGGUUGGAGAAAAUAGGACAGUUGAGCAGCCACAAUGUUCCUUUUCUGAUAAGCAGAGGUCUCCGAAUUCUCUAUCUGAUAACCCUCCUGGCAGAUUUUUAUCUACAGCUACUUCUGGUUCAAACUCCAUUGCCGCAAGUAGAUUUCCUUUGCAAGGUAGAGAAGACAUGGAAGCUGUCAGAGGCCUAACUUCUCAAAAUGACUCGACUUCUGCACCUUCUCAUCAGUUUCAGCAAAGUCUUGUUCGACACUCGGGUAUCAAUGGUUCUAUUGGUGGGUUUGGGUUUGGUUAUUCCUCUCAAACGGGGUUGGUAACACAGUGUGUAAAUUCUUUGUCUGAAAAGACUACAGUGCCGACUCAAACA